Molecule: ribosomal RNA, 462 nt
Filed under: uncultured bacterium
Lineage: Bacteria
Description: partial 16S ribosomal RNA
Rfam family: Bacterial small subunit ribosomal RNA
Source: RNAcentral
GACGAACGCUGGCGGCGUGCUUAACACAUGCAAGUCGAGCGGAAAGGCCCUUCGGGGUACUCGAGCGGCGAACGGGUGAGUAACACGUGAGUAACCUGCCCCAGACUUUGGGAUAACCCUCGGAAACGGGGGCUAAUACCGGAUACGACACAGCUUCGCAUGGGGUCUGUGUGGAAAGUUUUUCGGUUUGGGAUGGGCUCGCGGCCUAUCAGCUUGUUGGUGGGGUGAUGGCCUACCAAGGCGACGACGGGUAGCCGGCCUGAGAGGGCGACCGGCCACACUGGGACUGAGACACGGCCCAGACUCCUACGGGAGGCAGCAGCGGGGAAUAUUGCACAAUGGGCGGAAGCCUGAUGCAGCGACGCCGCGUGAGGGAUGACGGCCUUCGGGUUGUAAACCUCUUUCAGCAGGGACGAAGCGUAAGUGACGGUACCUGCAGAAGAAGCGCCGGCCAACUACGUG